UGGUGAGAGCAUGACCCCCCACACGGGUACUGAGACACGGACCCGACUCCUACGGGAGGCAGCAGUAAGGAAAUAUUGGACAAUGGACGGAAGUCUGAUCCAGCCAUGCCGCGUGAAGGAAGACUGCGCUCAGCGUUGUAAACUUCUUUUGGAUGGGAAUAAUAAUGUCGACGAGAUCGGCACUUGAAGGUACCAUCAGAAUAAGCACCGGCUAACUCCGUGCCAGCAGCCGCGGUAAUACGGAGGGUGCAAGCGUUAUCCGGAAUCACUGGGUUUAAAGGGUGCGUAGGCGGUUAAAUAAGUCAGUUGUGAAAUUCUCCGGCUUAACCGGGGUGAACUUGCGAUUGAUACUGUUAGACUUGAAUCAGGUUGAGGUAGGCGGAAUGUGGCAUGUAGCGGUGAAAUGCAUAGAUAUGCCAUAGAACACCGAUUGCGAAGG
RNAcentral lists this ribosomal RNA (439 nucleotides) under uncultured bacterium. RNAcentral's name for it is "bacterial SSU rRNA". It matches the Rfam family "Bacterial small subunit ribosomal RNA", at positions 290 to 721 of the family's 1533-position model. The record is from RNAcentral.